UUCUAUUUCUCUCUCUACUUUCCUCCACUCAAAACUCGCCACGUGUAACAACUACCGUUAUUCUUCCUCUUGCUUCCUACGCGGCCCAUAGCCCAAAUCUUGGAACCAAACUUUUGGGCUUUGCGGCCCGAUACCUUUGGAGCCGCUCUUUUGGGCUUAGGGCUUCGUUCUCUCAGAAAAUCAGACGCGGCUGGCUGCGAUUAGGGUUUUCAGAAGAGGAACUCCGGUCCAUCUCGGCAUCGGAGAACGAUGUUCGGCUUUAGAUCCUUGUGCUGGAAUUCUUAAUUUCAUGUUGAAAAUUCUAAUUGGUUUCUGGAAGGAUCAGGUUUGGGGUAGAUCGAACUGGAUCUGAAGAGAUGGACAGUGGGUGGAGACUGAGGAUGGGUUGGGAAUGAAGAUCCUUAAUAAUUUUCCCUGUGUAAUUCGAUCCGAAGCCAUUGAUGAUUGAAAAGAAAGCUUUUUUGUAAAAGGGGAGCGUGGAUUUGAUUGUUGACUUGGGUCAGGGUCAAAUUUCCAAUUUAAGUUUACUCUGUUUUGCCUCAAGAGAGAAGAAUCAAAAGGAUUGUUAUGCUAUUAUUACGAAGGUAAAAAGUGAUAAUAAUUCAGCUGAGCUUGGAUCUAUAACAUCAAUCAAAGCCAUGUACAAUAGGGGUUUUAUUAUAUGUAUGAGAAGUCAAACGUGGGAGAUCAGCAGCUAAUGGAUCUUGGUGUUGGAAGUAUUAUACCUCAUCCUUAUUUGGUAUUAUAUCUCAUCAAUAUAUAAAUAUGUAUAUAUAUGUUGUUUAACUUUAUCUUAGACUAUAUUAUGAUGAGAUUUGCAUUUUAGGCUACUAAGUGCUGAUAUAAAUACAUCAAAGUUGUGUUUUGUGGACAAAAGUUUCAUGCUUGGACUUUUGGGGUGAGGUAAUGUGGCAGAUCUUGAUCUCUUCUUUUCAUUAUUUUAUUUACACUUUCUUAUUAAUGGAAUAGUUUGAUUAUAGAUCAUUUAUGCUUAUCAUUGAGCUCUGUUUGGUGUGAUUAAACAUGACACUGUGAACAGAUUUCAUAGAUAGAAAGAAAAAGAAGAAUCAUAGAAUCCGAUCACCCUUUUUUUUGGUUGAAUUUUAGUUUCUUUUUUUCUUCCCUUUUUUUGAUUAGCAAUUUACAGUUAAUUAAACAAAUUAGUUGCUUUUGCUUAAUAAGUCAUAUCCCUUUUUGUCUUUCUGUCUGGGGGGGCCAUUUACAGUUAAUUUGUUUUGGAUAUGAUGGUGUUUCUGAGUUACAGAAUUUGGUUUUUUUAGUGUUAAAUACCAGAAUUUUCAGGUUUUUGGAUAAGGAAACUUUCGUUUAAUUUAGUUAAAGAUUGCCUUAUUUCAAUACCACUGCUUAGUGUAAAUUUAGUAGUUUUGUUUCGACAAAAUUAUAUAUGUAUAGUAUACAUCUCAUCUCGUUUUGAUUGCUUGAUUCGUUCGUUUAUUGUUUGUAAUAUUAGAUUCUGUUUUAUUUAUUUUAAUAUAUUAAGUGCUGAUCUAGUUGGGAUGCUUUCCUAUUAGCAGCUUGAUGCUUUUCUACUAUUA
This is a long non-coding RNA of Humulus lupulus (European hop), 1556 nucleotides long. RefSeq lists it as uncharacterized. NCBI's taxonomy places the organism in Eukaryota, Viridiplantae, Streptophyta, Magnoliopsida, Rosales, Cannabaceae. The transcript is spliced from 2 exons. The record is from RefSeq and is a predicted model, not a curated record.